UUUGAGCAAGUUCUCCAUAGGUCUGACCAUCAAAGCGCAUCCUGUGAUCAGCCACGCAGCACCUGGGCACAGUGGGAACGAACGGGCUGCUGCGCUGGGUCUCAGGCAGAGGAGCAGGAACAGCCGCAGCAGCAGGAACAGCCGCAGCAGCAGGAACAGCCGCAGCAGCAGGAACAGCCGCAGGAGUCUCACAGGUGGGGCCCUCCCUGGAGGAAAACACCUUCAAGGAAAUACCAUGGCGCUGAUGCUCCUGCUCCUCCGGUGCUGACAGUGUGUGGUGUGGGCGCAACAGCACUUGCCCAGGCUGCUCAGCAGCUUCGGCCGUUUCCGUUUUCCUUCCAAAAACGUUCUUUUUGAAAGAUCUUCCACUUAUUGCAAAUCGACUGCUCCUGCAGUGCUCACAUCAGCAUUUCGCCCCCUUUGGAAACAGACCGUAAGGCAGGUGCCUGCUGGUGUUUGUGCGUCCCGUCCGCGGCCGGCGGAGGCUGCCGCCCGUCCCCCGUGUCCGGCACAGCCCGGGGCUGGCGGGUCUGGACCCCCGUGUCUGCAGCGCAGGGGUCGAGCGGACGCAUCCGGGCUGUGCGCAGCUGGGGGGGAGGCGGAGGCCGCGCCCGGGACACCGGGGAGGUGAGCUGAACCGCUCUCUUCCAAAGCCUUUUAAUUACAGGGGAUUAAUUACAUUUUAAUGGUUCUAAUCUGAUUUACUCUGAUCUGAACAACGCGAGACCUUCCCCACCAAAACCCUCCUGGAGCCCCCGGGGGCGGCAGCGCCGGGUCUCCCAGCGCCGGCCGCCGGGGCUGCUCCGGGGAGCGGCACUGAGCGGCCCCGCCCCGCUGCGGCCACGCCCACUCGGCCACGCCCCUCCCGGUCUCUGCCGCCCCCUGGCGACGGCGGCUGGGACUGCGCGCUCGCGCCGCGCGCCUCGCCCGCGGUCUCUGGCGCCCCCUGGCGGCCGCCGCCGCACACCCUGGGCAGGACCCCCGGGCCCGUCGGUGCCGCGGCGGCUGCGCUGUUCGCCGGUUCCGCCCCGGGCCCCCCGCGCCCCGGCUGCGCAGCCGUGCGGGGCGGGGAACGGGCGGGAGGAGCCCCGGGCCUGCACUGCGCUGCUCGCUGCGCGUGCGGGCGGAACCGCCGCCUUCCGCCGCACAACCGUCCUCUCGGUUUGUCGUUGCUGUUUCCCCCAGGGCAGCACUGGGGAAACAGGGGUGACACAGAGACCUUGCCCGCUCAGUUAAACAAACACCUCGUCGCUGUUGCCCCGGGCCGCAGAUCAUCCCUUACACAACGCCCCGGCCCCGUCACCGGGCCACAGGCGGCACAUCAGGGACCCCGAGCUGCUCCCGUUGCACGGGAACCCCGUGCUCAGCGCCACCACGAGUAACUGUGGCUGUCGCUGCUUGCGUCCGCUCCUGUACCCGCUGUGACAGGUGAGGAACAGCAUCUCCGUGCUCAGGGAUUCCCCUCCCGGUCCCGCAUGUGCCAGCACAGCAUCCCGGCCAGCGCCCAGCUCUGCUGCUGGCACGGAAAGGGAUCGUGCGGCCGGGGCUGGGGCUCUGCAAAGCGUCAUCGCCCCAGCUCUGGAGGGGGCUAUUUCAACGCGUAAUUGUUCAUGGCGCGUGCUGAUGGCUCCCAAACCAGCUCUCGGGUCAGGCUGACUGCUCAGCUGCUGCGUUAAGCAUGGCUGACUCUGAUUACAGCGCAGAUCAGUCAUCGAUCUGAUCUGGAGCUUCCCACUCCUCUCCUCACAGUGGGGCUGGAGUCCACAUGAACUUCAUGGCGUGCGCCUUCCCGCUCCAAGCGCCGCAGCCGGAGAGCUGGACACACAGGCCUGGUCCCACCGCUCGGUUCCCGGCUGCGGUGGGCGCGUGUCUGCCCGCGGUCCUGGCGCCCGGGCGCGGUGUCUCCCGCAGCUCCUGGCCAGCACGGUGUCCUCUUGCUGUCUUGCCCAGCGGCACAGGGGAACCACGGGACCCGAGGCUCCCCGGGGCCUCAGCCCUGCCCUGGUGGGGUUGUGUGCCCAGGAGCAGGGGUCACACACAAAGGCGCCUUUUCUCAAAUGCAGGGUAGGCUCCUAAUGGAAAAAGAGAGAUUUGGAGGUUCUCUGGGGACAUGACAGAGAGCACAGGAGCAACAGCCACAUUGAUGAAUCCCCCACUGCCCAAUGCUGGUGAGGGAUGGAGGGACCUGGGCAGUGGCAGCGCUGCAGAGCGCUGGGGCUGGAGUGGCAGCAGUGGGGAGACGUCCCACUAGGAGAUGUCCCCAGGGAGAUGUCCCCCAGGGAAGUGUUCCACGGAGCGUGCAGGCACGGGCACCGCAGUCAGAGCUGGCAGCGAUGAGCUGCCUGCUGCCCUGGGGUGAGAUACGGCUGCAGAGGUUCAGCCUGAAGAUGCUCUCUCCUGUUAGCAAAAUGCCGUUGUCCUUCUGCCACAUCCCCUCCCAAGCAUGGCUCACAGCCAGCACCUUCUGCCAAGUGCUAAUAGUGCAGUUAAUUACCAGGGAUGGGGGGUGGACACAGGUGGCCCUGGGCAGGGCACGGUGAGCAGGCCCAGGGCUGCCCACAGUGUGGGAACAGGGCACAGCUGCGAGCGGGGAAAUGGCUUUUAACUGGGCUGCUAAAAAUCCUUCCCCCUCUCCCCGUUAGCAAAAGGAAACCUGGGCCUCCACUGCCCCGGACACUCUUGUUCUGCUCUGGCGCACCGACAGUAGCGGGAGCUGCUCAGGGACCCCACACAGGAAUUCACUGGCUCAAAAAGUGAGUGAGCCAGGACGUCCCAUUUGGCCCCUGGACAACUCAUGUCCUUCUGUGGGGCUGUGUGAGAACAGCCCAGCCCCACCGCACGUGCCCCAGAAAGCCUGUGAGCAGAGGCUUGAGUCUGGGGCUGAACUCGGUGGCUCUGGGGACGGCGGUGUGUGACGGGUCAGCUGCUGGCAGAGCUGGCAUGCACCAGACGCCGGGCGGUGCAGCCGCUGCUGCCACGGGCGCUCGCGGGAGCUGGAGCCAGCGGCCGCCAAGCGCGGUGCCCGCGGAGCAUCUGCUCUUCCUCUGCCGGCUGACGAGCACAAAGUGCAUGAGGAGAGGCGAAGAUGGACUUGCCCGGUUGCCACGUCUGAUACAGAAACACGGCAAGGCUCGGUUUGUAGGUCGAGAUAAUAGCUAUUGCCAGGCUAACCUAAACACGUUUUACACACAGACGCAGCAAUUGGCAGGAGUGAUAAUGGCAGCAGAGUGGAUAGUGCUACUGUCUGGGUUACAAAAGGGCUUUUAUUUAAUUAUGCUCAAUUCGCUGCCUCUGGAUUCCUGCACUGCCUGCAAGGCUGGGGUGCCCAGGGACCUGCCGGGGUGGCCAAGCAGCCUUGCGCGGUGCCACAACCUGCCGUGCCAGCUCCCAGGCUGUGCGGGGUGACGCCCGCGCUCCUCCCGGCUGGCUUGGCUCGAACCCCGCGCUGGUUUGAUUGCGGCUGUGGCACCUGGCAGAGCUGGCACUCACUCCGCUGCCUUCUAUUUUUAGUCUUCCCUUCGAGCGUGUGUGUGUGGCAGCUGCUGUCCCCGCGGAUCUCGCCAGGGUGAGGGGCGGCUCAGCUGGUGGGAGGCUGCUCCCCGCGGACAGGAGCGGCCAGCAGUCGCGGGUCUGGGGCAGCCGCAGGCAGCCGGGACCGCGCAGGUUCCCCCGGCCACGCCACCCGGACCGGGAGGUUUCGCGCUGGGGUUUCCCCUUGCUGAGGCGUCACCCCGACGGCGUGCGGGACGGGGUGGGAGGUCUGUGCCCCUGGGUAGUCAGUGGCCCUGCUGAGGCCCCUGGCGCUGCGACAGCUCAUGGAGCCCGUGGGGGAGUGGGGACACGGCGCUGGUGCCACCCGCAGUGACACCGGGCAGCCACCCAGGCUGAAGGUGCAGAUGGGACCAGGACGGUCCCGCGGCCCCGGGGCUCUCUGCCCGCCGGACAAACGCUGGGUUUGCUCCCCAAGCUGUGGCACCCGGUCCCAGCCGGGGUCUCACUCGGGGGGCUUUGGAGUGGGGGCUGCGGGGAGCACGGAAUCGCUUUUUUUCUCGCCUUUCUGUUUCCUCUGCGCCUGGCCAUCCCUGCAGCCCAAAGCCAGACCGUGGCUUUUAAAGGUGCUGUUUUCUUCUCUGCAGCUCUGACUCACUUCCUUUCCCACCGCUGCCGCCUUCAGCAGCUGGAGGAGCUGAAGAAGGUUCCUCCACGGGAUCCGUGCGGGUGGCCAGGAGCAGCUCCCGUGUGCUCUGCUCUGCUCCCCCUGCAGCUCAGACACCCAGCCUGGGUUCAGGAUGUGCCUGCGCUCCCCUGCGCCCUGUCCUACACCCACAGCCUUCUUAGGAGAAGCAAGCCAACACUAAUCAGUGCUCCUGUUCCUUUGCUUGCUUUUAUUGUUGGCUUUGAGCUUUUAGGCUCUCACUCAGACUGUUUGAUAUUUUGUCUGGAGCAUCUGGAAACCCUGAGAAUUGCAGACAGUGCAGGUAGUUGUCACAACACACAGGUAAUCCAUCUCUGCCCUUUCAAAGGAGGAUCUCAGGAGGGCUGAAGUUGUUCACCAAGGAAGCUUAUAACAGAUGCUUGAAGCUUUGGCUAAGGAUGCACUAAUUAAUCUCAGGGCCUCCUGCCAAGCAGCCCGGCAGAGCAGCCUGCCCAGCCUGGCACAGGCAGGUGCGGUGACAUCCCCGGGGUCACCGCCGGCAGGGUGGCAAGUCUGGGGAUGGGAGUCUUGAGCCCUCGGGGCCACUGGCACGAAGCUGGGCUGCUCGUGGGCGGGUGCGCAGGGGACCACGGGCGCCAGGGCUCUCACAACGUGCCCGGGCCAGGUACUGGGUGCUCCUGCUCCAGGGUGGGCAACGGGUGCCCGGAGCCCCACAUCCCUCUGGUGCGGUGAUGGGCACCCCCUGCCCCCCAGUCACGUCAGUCUCCAGCCGCUGCCUGAAGUCUCCUUGAAAGACCGCAGAGGUUCUGAGCCACCCACCAGCACAUCCCUGUGCCCCACGAGCCGCAGGAAACAAUCACUUGAAGCCUGGUUGCUUUUCCACCUUGAUUUACUAUCAGCUUUGACAAGCACUGUCUCUUGGCUCCUCCGAUACUGCCAGCCGUGUCUAAUGCUGUUGAUUUGAUAAUACAUCUAAUCUGGCUCUCUUGGAAACGCCCAGUAUCUCCGAGCUGCUGUUCUACUGGAACCAUCUUCCUUCCUUGCCUUCAUUCUAUCUUUCCCAGCUGGGGCCAAUCUGUCCAGGAAAUGGUCCAAUUUGCUUCCAUCUGAUGGGAGCGGAUCCCAGCUCUGUUCCCUUCAUCUCCUCUGGAGUCGAAAUCAGCCUAGGUCAUUAUUUUGAAAUCCUUCAUUUUCCUCCUCUGCAUUUUUGCUGCUGCUUUUCUCCCUCAGCAGGGGCACUAGUGACAAUACCUAUAAAUACCUCUUCCUUCAGGGUUUUCAGAGAGCAACCACCACCCACUUGGUGCAACACGGGUAUUUGAGAUCUAGACAAGAUAUUCCCCACUUUUUAGAACCUCCCGUGGUUUGAGGAGGAGCACCAGCAUCCUGUGUUAGAUGCAGCUUAAACUAGUGGGUCUGAGCCAGGCCUAAAUCUCUCUGCAGGCGUUCUCCGAGGGCUUGGGGCACCUGACACGCACGGAGCCCCUCGGCCCGGCACGCGGUGCCCUCUGCCAUGCACCCCGGCUGCCAGCGCCGCGCGGGAGGCCGGGGUCUUGUCACAUUGCAGAGUGUUGCUAAGGGACCUCUUGCCCCCCCCCAGCUCCAUCACACUCUCUGGACAGGCCCAGGAGGGUCUGUCUGUGCUCGCUGUCGUGCUGGGUACGACAGGCCUUAACGACCUGAGCAGCCACAGCUGGAGCCCCCACCCACCCCUAGGCAUGGCCCAGGAGCUCAUUUAAGCCCAGGGCUGGCCCUUGGUCUGGCUUAGGCAGAACUGUGGGAGCUGCUCUCUGGGUGUCCCGUGGGCACCUUGUCCCUGGGCUGGGUCCACUGACGGAGGGCGCAGCUUGUCUGCAGUCUUGUCCUUAGCCCUGUCUCCCAGAUGGGCUUUGGACCUGUGCUGUGGGCUUGUCUCUGGUCCUGUCUUCUUCCCUUAGAUGGACCCUGGACCUGAUGCUCUCCAGUGCUCAGGAUGGGGAGAAAGGCUGACUGCUUCUGCAUCGCUGGCAUCCUUCCACCUUCCCUGGUGCUCAGCUGGGACUGCAAUCGCUUGGCUUGACGCUGCCCCCAGACAGUGAUUUCAGUGGAGCCAUUAACUCAGCCUGUGCCAUGUACCCAGGGUCUCUGGUGUAACUUCAGGCUGAAGCAGAUGCCGUCUGUGGUGUAAAAGACCUUGGUGCUCUGAUUGCCUGGGGUGGAGUCCCCCAGAAGGAAAUGCUGCAGGUGUUACAGCCACACGUGGAGCUGCACCCGGAGCGUGCCCUUGUCCGCUGUGAGUCCUGGGUGUCACCUGCUGCUGCUCAGUGACCUGCUGGGCUGCGUCCGUGGAUCCACAAUCAGCCGGUUGGAUCUGUCAGGCCCGAGAAGCAUCGUCAAGUGAGAUCAAGGGAAACUCCCUGUACCCGGCUCUGAAACGUGGCUCCGCGGGGACGCGGCUGGCUGAGGAGCGCGGAGCCCCGGGGCCGUCGGCGGGGGAGCUGGACAUGUCCCCGGAGCGGCGGGGAACUGCAGAUCAGCGCUGUGAAACAAGGGGUUGCCGCCUUUUCCCUGGCCUUUCCAGGGCUGAGCAACUUAUUUAAUGCAAUGAAGCUAUUGCUCUGCACCCUGUGUGAGGGAGGACAUCACUGUCAUUGAACUCAGAUGACACCCCACGAGUGACAUUAUAAUGAGAGACAACUACUAGAGGCAAGAGCAAACACACCGCUGGACACUGCGCGUCAGGGAUGUAUCUGGAGAUCGCAGGCGGCAGUCCGUGGCGGGGCGCGGGUAUGAGAACGUUUCGGGUUUGCUGGUAAAGAGCCGUGCACACGUACUGUUGGUAACGGCUGCUGAUAAGUUACCCCAAGGGGCUGCCCCUGCCCCGCGACCGGAACGCCAGGCGUGGGGCGCGGCGAGGCUGUGGGCAGGGGU
Molecule: long non-coding RNA, 7066 nt
Organism: Columba livia (rock pigeon)
Lineage: Eukaryota; Metazoa; Chordata; Aves; Columbiformes; Columbidae
Exons: 3
Source: RefSeq, a predicted model, not a curated record